GAUACAGUCAAUGAUAUGUGGACAUGCAUCAAAGCUUUCUCCUGUUGGUGACCAUCAUAGCCGUCCAAUGACCAUGACAUCCACCACCUCGCCCUUGUGGAGUUCCACGUACUGCUCUGUCUUUGGAGGUAGCAUCAAUAAUCCAUUGGCGCUGCGCAUGCUCAUCAGACGACUGCUCAUCUGAUUACCUGGAAUGAAAUACUCUAAUUACUGCAGCACAGACAUCAGGAAGUACACGUGGAGAGGCCAGCAAAUGAGUGCAGGGCUCCAAGGAGAGAGAUGAUCAGUCUUCCCAGUACCUUUCCAGGUGAAAUGAAACAUUACCCUGGCUUUGAUGAUGGUUGGCCGAGGAUCCAAGAUACCCUGCAUCUUUCUCAGUGCAGGUACAACAAAGAGGUUGCAGGUGACCACAGCUGAUACAGGAUUCCCUGAAAGUCAAUCAAACAGUUAUUUAUAUUACAUCACACAAAUCUGUCAGGGCCGAGGACUGUGUCCUGGAAGAACAUUCUGGUUGGACUAGGUGUUAGUCCUGUUUUAUAGGUGAAGAACUAGCAUCAGAGAAGGUAAGUAGUUUGCCAAUUAGUAAGACUAUUCAGAUUAUAAAUCAAGUGAUGUUGACUAGAGACUGGCCAUCUGAGAAACCUAUUUUUUUUUUUUUGGUCA
Microtus ochrogaster (prairie vole) is the source of this 663-nucleotide long non-coding RNA. RefSeq lists it as uncharacterized. Lineage: Eukaryota; Metazoa; Chordata; Mammalia; Rodentia; Cricetidae. The record is from RefSeq and is a predicted model, not a curated record. The transcript has 3 exons.